RNAcentral lists this long non-coding RNA (284 nucleotides) under Elaeis guineensis (African oil palm). RNAcentral describes it as "long non-coding RNA (EGUI_LNC082404)". Lineage: Eukaryota; Viridiplantae; Streptophyta; Magnoliopsida; Arecales; Arecaceae. The record is from RNAcentral.
ACCGACCCCUUCACUAAAGCCCUAAUGAUAAAGCAAUUCGAUAAUCACAAGUCGAAGAUGGGUAUUAGAUACUGUGCCGAGUGGCUUUAGGACAAGUGAGAGUUGUUGAAAAAUAUGUCCCAAAAGCCAAUCGUCAACCUAUUGACGGUUGAGCAACCUUAUAUUAUAAUUAAUUUGUUAAUAAAUAAAAUAUAUUUUUGAUAUUUUUAUCAUAAAUUUUCAUCUUCUAAUGAACUCCGUUGUUGUGAUGAAGUCCUUAGGACUAUUUAGAUUCGAUAAAGAGA